CAAGUUGAUUUAUAGGAUUGGCUGGCAAAGCUUUGCAUACAGCUUUUUCUACAGUGGACCAACCAGCUCAUCCUUAAUGAAUGGUUGCUCUUAAAGCUGAGAGAUGUGUUCCCAACUGCUCUGAGCACCUUGGGCACGGAUGAGAAUUAGUACCAGGUUACAGGGACGUCGAGAGAUAGCUGAGCUAUCGUGGGCAGCUGUGAUUUGUGGGGUACCUCCAGGCAGGCAGCUUCCCCGGUGGGUAUGAUUCUUUUUGUUUGUUUGUUUUGCUCGUUACACAGUUCCUUGGCACAUCACCUUUUACCUUGUCUCCAAAUGACUGUUUUUUCCUCUGCAUCCCACUCGGUGACUCAGAUUGAGGGCGUCUUAUUCAGUACGGUCUGUUUCUUGGUUUGGGGGUUUUUGUUUUUGGUUUUUUUUUUUCUUCUUCUUCUUUUCCAGAUGUAUGUGAGCUCUAGGAUGAUAACUUGAAUAGAAACAAGUAUUAUGAGUGGCUUUGGUGCUGUGCUCAGCUCUAGUUCUCCCAGAAGAUGAAAGGGGACAAGGCUUCAACGCACUACAGAGGACCCUCACUUUCCAUCCAGUGACAGUUGAUGACUGUACCCUUUGGAGCAGUGAUGUGCCCAAGGUCCCACAAGAAGUCUGUGGCAGAGCAAGAAGCAGGAGUGCUGCUUUUCUUUUCCUCAUACGUGCAUCUGGUGUUACAGGAUCACUUGUUCCAGCUGGGAAUGACCUCAGCCAGAGCCUGGCUUCACUGAAGCAGGGUUAGUGGUGUCCUCACCAGCAGGGCUUCCACCAGCAGAAACAGAGGCGGGGAAACGGAGCUGAGAUCGUGCAAAGUGAUCACUGCAGGAAAAAGAGGCUGAAACCACAUCCAUUUCUGUCCCUUGUCUGUGACUUUUCAGCUGUUGAACUUAUACAAGGGCCUCUUCUGCGUUCUGACUCCUGACUAUUGGUGAGGAGGUCACCAUCUCACUGCUCGUCUGGCAUAUCAUUACGGUACAGCUUUGCAUAGGUGAGAAGAAACAUCCUGGUGACACCUCUUAUGGAGCUGGUGGUGGGUUGUGACCGGUGGAGUCUCAGCACCAGUCUUCUGCUUGGGGAAAUAUAUCAGACCAUCUCCAUGAAUGAGCCAGAAGAAGUUGGUGAUAUUGCUUUGCCCAGAGGCUGCUGCAGCAGACAAAGUCUAGGCACAGACUGCAACAGGCUUUGGAUCAAGUCUACAACAAAGCUGUUCUAAGAUGACAGUGUCAGCAUACUGCUGUUUCCUGCAAAGUCAGCCUAGCCUGGAGCAGGAAUCACAAGAUUUCUCAUUCAGAGGGCUCUAACCAGCCCUUCUUCUGACCUGCAAAAACUCAUCCAGAAGCUGCCUUGGGAUGGUUGUAAAACCAUCUGGUGCCCAGUAUGUCGGUCCAUGAGAUCCACGCUGGCUGCUUCUACCCAGGCGGCUGCCACCAGCUCUGCCCAGCUGCAGCACUUGCACCAGCUUGCCCAGUGGCAGGGACUGGAACGGCCCUGAUGCCAAAGUCUGCGGUACUUCUUUGCUUGUGCUUAUGCCGGAGUCAUUUAUUUCGGUAGGUUAUGCUUUUUACUGAAAACAUGCUCUAUUGAAAUAGGGACUGCAAGCAACCGUGCCACGGGGGCUGCUGUAGCAGAUGUGCAACUGCAUGGGUUGCUGUGGGUAAGGUUGUACCCCCUCAUGUAGCCGAAGCGGUGCAGUUUGUGUGCUGAGGUGUGCCCAAGCUGAGAAUUUAUGUGUUUGCCUGGCUUCGUCUGUCCACUCCAGUAACUGCCUGGAAGGCAACAGCGGGUGAAGGGCACUGCAGCUGUGCAGCGGCUCUCCCCUCCCCAAUGAGCCAGCAGCGCUCCUCUCCAGCCUUUGAUUGGGAUUGCUUAGCUUUCCAAAUGAAGUUGAAAAAGCAAUUUGAGUGUCUCUUUGGGAGCCAUCUCAAAUAAAAUUGGGAUGACUUGGCAUGAAAGUGGGUGAUGGGUUUCACAUGGGGCUUUGCCUCCUUUCAGCUGCUCUGGUACUGCUGCCCUUUCAGUAAAGCUGCUGUGGUUGUGGGGGGAAGGCUUAAAGGAAAAGGGGAAGAAAACCAAAAAAAAGGAAAAGAAAAGGAUGGAAACUGCUCUUCUCUAGCAUGUUACCCAGCAGAGGAGGACUGAAAAGCUCUGCUCCUGGCAGCCAGUACAGGCCCUGGCUAAUAGGUGGGAGCAGGACACCUAUCUGAAGACAGAAGGCUUGAGGGGCUUGGUAGUGUUUGAGAUAUUUUUAAUUCCUUUCAACAAUUUGCCUCUCCUUUGUUGGCAAAAGCAAGUUGGAGUCUGGAAAGAAAAAUAUCUCACCACUUGGCAAAUUCCCUGAGAGAGCCAGUCCUAGCUUUUUGUCCAAGAACAUCUGAAGGCUCCCUUCUUGCUUGCCAUCAUCUUUUGGCAGGAAAAAGCAGCGAUGGAGCCCCAGGAGACAGCGUAUUAGCUCCAUCGGCGGGGCCAGCAGCAGGUCCCUGCAGCUGGAAGCCAGGGCAGCGCUCGGGUCUGUGCCUGCUUUGCAUUGCCCUCCCCGAACCUCGGGCCCAUUGUUGGCCCUGCAGGGGGGCUGGGGGGCUUCCCCAGCCUGCACGCCAAUCCGGAGCGCCUGGUGAGCCAUUUCUGGCACUCUCUAGGGCUAAUUUGCAUUUCUUUUUGUUGCACCAGCCCACCUUAAUGAGCAGUUCUGCCUUGCAUUUGACU
This is a long non-coding RNA of Falco peregrinus (peregrine falcon), 2730 nucleotides long. RefSeq lists it as uncharacterized. The record is from RefSeq and is a predicted model, not a curated record. NCBI's taxonomy places the organism in Eukaryota, Metazoa, Chordata, Aves, Falconiformes, Falconidae. The transcript has 6 exons.